UUAUCAACCAUCAAGCCUGGCUUGUCGUUGGAUCCUGUCGUUGAAAUACACGACAGAUCCAAAAGAUAACGACGGCGUCUGUUUGACCCUAGAUGCAACGAGCUUAAAACAGCACGCAUUGAAGUGGUUGGCAGGCCCGGUCUUAACCAUCAUUUUCUAAGGUUGACCUCGGAUCAGGUAGGAAUACCCGCUGAACUUAA
Molecule: unclassified non-coding RNA, 200 nt
Filed under: soil metagenome
Description: partial contains internal transcribed spacer 2 and large subunit ribosomal RNA
Source: RNAcentral